This 253-nucleotide ribosomal RNA is filed under the name Bacteroides cellulosilyticus DSM 14838. Its description in RNAcentral is "partial 16S ribosomal RNA". It matches the Rfam family "Bacterial small subunit ribosomal RNA", at positions 524 to 776 of the family's 1533-position model. RNAcentral also lists the same sequence under 2 other names. Lineage: Bacteria; Pseudomonadati; Bacteroidota; Bacteroidia; Bacteroidales; Bacteroidaceae. The record is from RNAcentral.
UACGGAGGAUCCGAGCGUUAUCCGGAUUUAUUGGGUUUAAAGGGAGCGUAGGCGGACUAUUAAGUCAGCUGUGAAAGUUUGCGGCUCAACCGUAAAAUUGCAGUUGAUACUGGUCGUCUUGAGUGCAGUAGAGGUAGGCGGAAUUCGUGGUGUAGCGGUGAAAUGCUUAGAUAUCACGAAGAACUCCGAUUGCGAAGGCAGCUUACUGGACUGUAACUGACGCUGAUGCUCGAAAGUGUGGGUAUCAAACAGG